GAUGAACGCUGGCGGCGUGCCUAAUACAUGCAAGUCGAGCGAACAGACAAGGAGCUUGCUCCUUUGACGUUAGCGGCGGACGGGUGAGUAACACGUGGGUAACCUACCUAUAAGACUGGGAUAACUUCGGGAAACCGGAGCUAAUACCGGAUAAUAUUUCGAACCGCAUGGUUCGAUAGUGAAAGAUGGUUUUGCUAUCACUUAUAGAUGGACCCGCGCCGUAUUAGCUAGUUGGUAAGGUAACGGCUUACCAAGGCGACGAUACGUAGCCGACCUGAGAGGGUGAUCGGCCACACUGGAACUGAGACACGGUCCAGACUCCUACGGGAGGCAGCAGUAGGGAAUCUUCCGCAAUGGGCGAAAGCCUGACGGAGCAACGCCGCGUGAGUGAUGAAGGUCUUCGGAUCGUAAAACUCUGUUAUUAGGGAAGAACAUACAUGUAAGUAACUAUGCACGUCUUGACGGUACCUAAUCAGAAAGCCACGGCUAACUACGUGCCAGCAGCCGCGGUAAUACGUAGGUGGCAAGCGUUAUCCGGAAUUAUUGGGCGUAAAGCGCGCGUAGGCGGUUUUUUAAGUCUGAUGUGAAAGCCCACGGCUCAACCGUGGAGGGUCAUUGGAAACUGGAAAACUUGAGUGCAGAAGAGGAAAGUGGAAUUCCAUGUGUAGCGGUGAAAUGCGCAGAGAUAUGGAGGAACACCAGUGGCGAAGGCGACUUUCUGGUCUGUAACUGACGCUGAUGUGCGAAAGCGUGGGGAUCAAACAGGAUUAGAUACCCUGGUAGUCCACGCCGUAAACGAUGAGUGCUAAGUGUUAGGGGGUUUCCGCCCCUUAGUGCUGCAGCUAACGCAUUAAGCACUCCGCCUGGGGAGUACGACCGCAAGGUUGAAACUCAAAGGAAUUGACGGGGACCCGCACAAGCGGUGGAGCAUGUGGUUUAAUUCGAAGCAACGCGAAGAACCUUACCAAAUCUUGACAUCCUCUGACAACUCUAGAGAUAGAGCCUUCCCCUUCGGGGGACAAAGUGACAGGUGGUGCAUGGUUGUCGUCAGCUCGUGUCGUGAGAUGUUGGGUUAAGUCCCGCAACGAGCGCAACCCUUAAGCUUAGUUGCCAUCAUUAAGUUGGGCACUCUAAGUUGACUGCCGGUGACAAACCGGAGGAAGGUGGGGAUGACGUCAAAUCAUCAUGCCCCUUAUGAUUUGGGCUACACACGUGCUACAAUGGACAAUACAAAGGGCAGCGAAACCGCGAGGUCAAGCAAAUCCCAUAAAGUUGUUCUCAGUUCGGAUUGUAGUCUGCAACUCGACUACAUGAAGCUGGAAUCGCUAGUAAUCGUAGAUCAGCAUGCUACGGUGAAUACGUUCCCGGGUCU
This 1372-nucleotide ribosomal RNA is filed under the name uncultured bacterium. Its description in RNAcentral is "bacterial SSU rRNA". It matches the Rfam family "Bacterial small subunit ribosomal RNA", at positions 28 to 1381 of the family's 1533-position model. The record is from RNAcentral.